This 660-nucleotide ribosomal RNA is filed under the name uncultured Tulasnella mycobiont of Aneura pinguis. RNAcentral's name for it is "eukaryotic LSU rRNA". The stretch from base 200 to 363 matches the Rfam family "5.8S ribosomal RNA". Lineage: Eukaryota; Fungi; Basidiomycota; Agaricomycetes; Cantharellales; Tulasnellaceae. The record is from RNAcentral.
AAGGAUCAUAGUAAUCGUCUUUGACGUUCGCUUUUCCCUCGUCCUCGGGACAUUAAGGUGCUCUGGUCGAGGAUAAACGACCCCUCUGACCGAGGUCAAACCCGUCGCUCUGUGUUACCUCUAAAAAUUUUUUUUCCGAGGCACACCUUAAAGAUCGUUCCGCAUUGCGAGUCUAACACCAGUUGUAUAAACUUUUUACAACCGGUAGCGCUGGAUCCCUUGGCACGUCAUUCGAUGAAGACCGUUGCAAAUUGCGAUAAAGUGAUGUGAUGCGCAAGUCCACCACUUAUACGUGAAUCAUCGAGUUGUUGAACGCAUUGCACCGCGCCCUAAUCCGGCUGCGGUAUGCCCCUUUGAGCGUCAUUGUAUUCCUUCGGGAGUCCUUUUACAAGGACCCGAGUUCGGAGUCCUCGGUCCCCUGUGGAUCGUGUUCUCUCAGAUCCCUCGCACCGAUCGCCUGAUGCGUCCUCUAAUGCCUAAGCGUGGAGUUCCUUCAGAGUCCGAGAGGUGCUUGACCGAGUCUUGAGCUCGUGUCACCAAGUCUGCCUAACAGCAGUACUACAACGCAUGACCUCAUUGGGGUAGGACAACCCGCUAGACUUAAGCAUAUUAAUCAGCGGAGGAAAAGAAACUAACCAGGAUUCCCUCAGUAACUGCGAG